Molecule: long non-coding RNA, 484 nt
Organism: Hyla sarda
Lineage: Eukaryota; Metazoa; Chordata; Amphibia; Anura; Hylidae
Exons: 3
Source: RefSeq, a predicted model, not a curated record
ACAUGACUGUGACUGAUGCACUAUUUCCAGGACAUGGAGUAGCAUUUCCGGACCUACAGCAAGACGUUGGAUGAAGGCAUAGCCCCAGAAAUAACACUGCUCAUGUUCAUCAGUGAGGGGCCGGUGCUGGACACUGUGUAGGGACACGGGAAUGCAAAGUCAUGCACAUGACUGUGACUGAUGCACUAUUUCCAGGACAUGGAGUAGCAUUUCGGGACCUACAGCAAGACGUUGGAUGAAGGCACAGGCCUAGGAAUCAUGCACAUACACAGAAACAUUUGCCCAAAUUAUAGAGGUAACCUCCUUUAGUAUGCCCAGAGGAAGGGCAAUACAGUAGCCAUGGAUUCCCUACAGGUUUCCUCCCCUCUGGAGGUUUUUCCUGUCCUGAGUAUUAGUUACUGUACGCUCUUUGUGAGUGAUGGGAGGUUACAAAACAUCCCCUACACAAACAUUUUAAUAAAUUAUAAAUAAAGUUCCCCUUUUU